RNAcentral lists this ribosomal RNA (2886 nucleotides) under Klebsiella pneumoniae. Its description in RNAcentral is "bacterial LSU rRNA". It matches the Rfam family "Bacterial large subunit ribosomal RNA". Lineage: Bacteria; Pseudomonadati; Pseudomonadota; Gammaproteobacteria; Enterobacterales; Enterobacteriaceae. The record is from RNAcentral.
UUAAGCGACUAAGCGUACACGGUGGAUGCCCUGGCAGUCAGAGGCGAUGAAGGACGUGCUAAUCUGCGAAAAGCGUCGGUAAGGUGAUAUGAACCGUUAUAACCGGCGAUGUCCGAAUGGGGAAACCCAGUGCAAUUCGUUGCACUAUCGUUAACUGAAUACAUAGGUUAACGAGGCGAACCGGGGGAACUGAAACAUCUAAGUACCCCGAGGAAAAGAAAUCAACCGAGAUUCCCCCAGUAGCGGCGAGCGAACGGGGAGCAGCCCAGAGUCUGAAUCAGCUUGUGUUAGUGGAACGGUCUGGAAAGUCCGACGGUACAGGGUGAUAGUCCCGUACACCAAAAUGCACAGGCUGUGAACUCGAAGAGUAGGGCGGGACACGUGGUAUCCUGUCUGAAUAUGGGGGGACCAUCCUCCAAGGCUAAAUACUCCUGACUGACCGAUAGUGAACCAGUACCGUGAGGGAAAGGCGAAAAGAACCCCGGCGAGGGGAGUGAAAAGAACCUGAAACCGUGUACGUACAAGCAGUGGGAGCACCUUCGGGUGUGACUGCGUACCUUUGUAUAAUGGGUCAGCGACUUAUAUUCUGUAGCAAGGUUAACCGUAUAGGGGAGCCGCAGGGAAACCGAGUCUUAACUGGGCGUUAAGUUGCAGGGUAUAGACCCGAAACCCGGUGAUUCAGCCAUGGGCAGGUUGAAGGUUGGGUAACACUAACUGGAGGACCGAACCGACUAAUGUUGAAAAAUUAGCGGAUGACUUGUGGCUGGGGGUGAAAGGCCAAUCAAACCGGGAGAUAGCUGGUUCUCCCCGAAAGCUAUUUAGGUAGCGCCUCGUGAACUCAUCUUCGGGGGUAGAGCACUGUUUCGGCUAGGGGGUCAUCCCGACUUACCAACCCGAUGCAAACUACGAAUACCGAAGAAUGUUAUCACGGGAGACACACGGCGGGUGCUAACGUCCGUCGUGAAGAGGGAAACAACCCAGACCGCCAGCUAAGGUCCCAAAGUCAUGGUUAAGUGGGAAACGAUGUGGGAAGGCACAGACAGCCAGGAUGUUGGCUUAGAAGCAGCCAUCAUUUAAAGAAAGCGUAAUAGCUCACUGGUCGAGUCGGCCUGCGCGGAAGAUGUAACGGGGCUAAACCAUGCACCGAAGCUGCGGCAGCGACACUAUGUGUUGUUGGGUAGGGGAGCGUUCUGUAAGCCUGCGAAGGUGUGCUGUGAGGCAUGCUGGAGGUAUCAGAAGUGCGAAUGCUGACAUAAGUAACGAUAAAGCGGGUGAAAAGCCCGCUCGCCGGAAGACCAAGGGUUCCUGUCCAACGUUAAUCGGGGCAGGGUGAGUCGACCCCUAAGGCGAGGCCGAAAGGCGUAGUCGAUGGGAAACAGGUUAAUAUUCCUGUACUUGGUGUUACUGCGAAGGGGGGACGGAGAAGGCUAUGUUAGCCGGGCGACGGUUGUCCCGGUUUAAGCAUGUAGGCUGGUUGUCCAGGCAAAUCCGGAUAAUCAAGGCUGAGGUGUGAUGACGAGGCACUACGGUGCUGAAGUAACAAAUGCCCUGCUUCCAGGAAAAGCCUCUAAGCAUCAGGUAACAUCAAAUCGUACCCCAAACCGACACAGGUGGUCAGGUAGAGAAUACCAAGGCGCUUGAGAGAACUCGGGUGAAGGAACUAGGCAAAAUGGUGCCGUAACUUCGGGAGAAGGCACGCUGGUGUAGGUGAAGUCCCUGCGGAUGGAGCUGAGACCAGUCGAAGAUACCAGCUGGCUGCAACUGUUUAUUAAAAACACAGCACUGUGCAAACACGAAAGUGGACGUAUACGGUGUGACGCCUGCCCGGUGCCGGAAGGUUAAUUGAUGGGGUUAUCCGUAAGGAGAAGCUCUUGAUCGAAGCCCCGGUAAACGGCGGCCGUAACUAUAACGGUCCUAAGGUAGCGAAAUUCCUUGUCGGGUAAGUUCCGACCUGCACGAAUGGCGUAAUGAUGGCGCUGUCUCCACCCGAGACUCAGUGAAAUUGAACUCGCUGUGAAGAUGCAGUGUACCCGCGGCAAGACGGAAAGACCCCGUGAACCUUUACUAUAGCUUGACACUGAACAUUGAGCCUUGAUGUGUAGGAUAGGUGGGAGGCUUUGAAGCGUGGACGCCAGUCUGCGUGGAGCCAACCUUGAAAUACCACCCUUUGUUUGAUGUUCUAACGUUGGCCCCUUACCGGGGUUGCGGACAGUGUCUGGUGGGUAGUUUGACUGGGGCGGUCUCCUCCCAAAGCGUAACGGAGGAGCACGAAGGUUAGCUAAUCCGGUCGGACAUCAGGAGGUUAGUGCAAUGGCAUAAGCUAGCUUGACUGCGAGCGUGACGGCGCGAGCAGGUGCGAAAGCAGGUCAUAGUGAUCCGGUGGUUCUGAAUGGAAGGGCCAUCGCUCAACGGAUAAAAGGUACUCCGGGGAUAACAGGCUGAUACCGCCCAAGAGUUCAUAUCGACGGCGGUGUUUGGCACCUCGAUGUCGGCUCAUCACAUCCUGGGGCUGAAGUAGGUCCCAAGGGUAUGGCUGUUCGCCAUUUAAAGUGGUACGCGAGCUGGGUUUAGAACGUCGUGAGACAGUUCGGUCCCUAUCUGCCGUGGGCGCUGGAGAAUUGAGGGGGGCUGCUCCUAGUACGAGAGGACCGGAGUGGACGCAUCACUGGUGUUCGGGUUGUCAUGCCAAUGGCACUGCCCGGUAGCUAAAUGCGGAAGAGAUAAGUGCUGAAAGCAUCUAAGCACGAAACUUGCCCCGAGAUGAGUUCUCCCUGAGACUUUAAGUCUCCUGAAGGAACGUUAAAGACGAUGACGUUGAUAGGCCGGGUGUGUAAGCGCAGCGAUGCGUUGAGCUAACCGGUACUAAUGAACCGUGAGGCUUAACCU